This 433-nucleotide ribosomal RNA is filed under the name uncultured bacterium. RNAcentral describes it as "partial 16S ribosomal RNA". It matches the Rfam family "Bacterial small subunit ribosomal RNA", at positions 29 to 507 of the family's 1533-position model. The record is from RNAcentral.
AACGAACGCUGGCGGCAGGCCUAACACAUGCAAGUCGAGCGAGGACUUCGGUUCUAGCGGCGGACGGGUGAGUAACGCGUGGGAAUGUGCCCUUCUCUACGGAAUAGCCCUGGGAAACUGGGAGUAAUACCGUAUACGCCCUAUUGGGGAAAGAUUUAUCGGAGAAGGAUCAGCCCGCGUUGGAUUAGGUAGUUGGUGGGGUAAUGGCCUACCAAGCCGACGAUCCAUAGCUGGUUUGAGAGGAUGAUCAGCCACACUGGCACUGAGACACGGCCCAGACUCCUACGGGAGGCAGCAGUGGGGAAUCUUAGGCAAUGGGGGCAACCCUGAUCUAGCCAUGCCGCGUGAGUGAUGAAGGCCUUAGGGUUGUAAAGCUCUUUCAGCUGGGAAGAUAAUGACGGUACCAGCAGAAGAAGCCCCGGCUAACUCCGUG